This 1319-nucleotide ribosomal RNA is filed under the name uncultured organism. RNAcentral's name for it is "SSU rRNA". It matches the Rfam family "Bacterial small subunit ribosomal RNA", at positions 144 to 1475 of the family's 1533-position model. The record is from RNAcentral.
UAGCCUUUCGAAAGAAAGAUUAAUACCCGAUGGCAUAAUGAUUCCGCAUGGUUUCAUUAUUAAAGGAUUCCGGUAAAGGAUGGGGAUGCGUUCCAUUAGGUUGUUGGUGAGGUAACGGCCCACCAAGCCUUCGAUGGAUAGGGGUUCUGAGAGGAAGGUCCCCCACAUUGGAACUGAGACACGGUCCAAACUCCUACGGGAGGCAGCAGUGAGGAAUAUUGGUCAAUGGGCGCUAGCCUGAACCAGCCAAGUAGCGUGAAGGAUGAAGGCUCUAUGGGUCGUAAACUUCUUUUAUAUAAGAAUAAAGUGCAGUAUGUAUACUGUUUUGUAUGUAUUAUAUGAAUAAGGAUCGGCUAACUCCGUGCCAGCAGCCGCGGUAAUACGGAGGAUCCGAGCGUUAUCCGGAUUUAUUGGGCUUAAAGGGAGCGUAGGUGGACUGGUAAGUCAGUUGUGAAAGUUGGCGGCUCAACCGUAAAAUUGCAGUUGAUACUGUCAGUCUUGAGUACAGUAGAGGUGGGCGGAAUUCGUGGUGUAGCGGUGAAAUGCUUAGAUAUCACGAAGAACUCCGAUUGCGAAGGCAGCUCACUGGACUGCAACUGACACUGAUGCUCGAAAGUGUGGGUAUCAAACAGGAUUAGAUACCCUGGUAGUCCACACAGUAAACGAUGAAUACUCGCUGUUUGCGAUAUACAGUAAGCGGCCAAGCGAAAGCAUUAAGUAUUCCACCUGGGGAGUACGCCGGCAACGGUGAAACUCAAAGGAAUUGACGGGGGCCCGCACAAGCGGAGGAACAUGUGGUUUAAUUCGAUGAUACGCGAGGAACCUUACCCGGGCUUAAAUUGCAGUGGAAUGAUGUGGAAACAUGUCAGUGAGCAAUCACCGCUGUGAAGGUGCUGCAUGGUUGUCGUCAGCUCGUGCCGUGAGGUGUCGGCUUAAGUGCCAUAACGAGCGCAACCCUGAUCUUUAGUUACUAACAGGUCAUGCUGAGGACUCUAGAGAGACUGCCGUCGUAAGAUGUGAGGAAGGUGGGGAUGACGUCAAAUCAGCACGGCCCUUACGUCCGGGGCUACACACGUGUUACAAUGGGGGGUACAGAAGGCAGCUAGCGGGUGACCGUAUGCUAAUCCCAAAAUCCUCUCUCAGUUCGGAUCGAAGUCUGCAACCCGACUUCGUGAAGCUGGAUUCGCUAGUAAUCGCGCAUCAGCCACGGCGCGGUGAAUACGUUCCCGGGCCUUGUACACACCGCCCGUCAAGCCAUGGGGGCCGGGGGUACCUGAAGUACGUAACCGCAAGGAUCGUCCUAGGGUAAAACUGGUAAC